AAAAAGACAAACCCUGAUUUCCGUGUCCAACGUUUGGCCGUCCGUCUUAUUUGAAAAAAAAUUAAAAGACAAGUCACGCAUAAAGUAUUAAUCAUGUUUUAUCAUAUAACAAUAAUAAAAAUAUAAAUUAUAAAAAAAAUUCAUAUAAGACGGACAGUCAAAGUUGGACACGGAAACCCAGAGUCUGUUUUUUUU
MicroRNA precursor from Oryza sativa Japonica Group (Japanese rice), 195 nucleotides. It matches the Rfam family "MIR812 microRNA precursor family". Lineage: Eukaryota; Viridiplantae; Streptophyta; Magnoliopsida; Poales; Poaceae. The record is from Rfam.